CCUCUAUAACUGGCAACCUCUUCCUCUCCCAGCAGUGAAACCUGCUGCUGUGUCCUGACUGCUGUCUACUACAUACAGUGGGCUAUUGCUCCAGUAUCUUGCUUCAGACACGUAAGCCCCCGCCUCCAGUAAACCACUGAUGUCUCUAUAGCUGACUCCUGGCUCUUCUUUGGUCUUGAAGUUGGGCAGGUACAGCCCAACAAUUGGCAAAACAGCUGGGAGACCAAGGAAACUCCUCUGCCCAGGGAGAAAAGUCUGCUGCCUCAAUCUGCCUGCUGUCCCCUGCACACGGUGGAGUGUUGCUUCAGGAUCUUGCUUAGACAUGUUAACACCUAAACCUGAGACAGAAGACCUCACAGAUGGCACUACUGUGGAAAGGACAUUUAAUGGGCACUUCAGAGAGGGAAAUACUCAGAAAUACCUGUUAAAUUGUCACAGCAAUCUUCCAGCUAAUAUCUUCUGAAUUAGAUUAAGGAAUGAGUAAUUUACCCAUUUAUGGAUUUUAUUGUGUCAUAGAAAGAACAUAGGAUUUGAGUCCAGCACCCAUCACUUAAAAGAUGGGGGAAACAUUUAUUUUUAGCUUUCCCAUCUAUAAAAUGGGUGUAAGAACAUUUAUGUGUUGGAUUACUGUAAGGAUUAAAAGUGAUCUGAAAAAAAAAAAAACAACAUAUCAUCCAGUAACAAAAAUUUGGGAUGGCAAUAGCAAUAUUGUUAUUACAUGUGACUUUUUAAGUACUUUAAUGUUCAUCAGUCUUCCCUAACUAUGCAUCUCUAAUUUGCCAUAUUAAUAGAUGGUGUAGCCAUUUUACUAAAUUUACUGAUUUUGGAGAUGGAAGGCAAAGUGUUCUAUUCUUCUUAAAAGUUUCAAAUGUAAAUUCAAAUGGUAUCUUAUAAAUAAAAGGACACAUAAUAACUUUUGAACAAUUAUGGGUUAUUUAUGUGCUUGUUUUUAAUUAUGAAAUCUAUCAUAUAAUCUUGCAACUCCACGUAAGGAGAAUUUAAGUGCUUCAUUUGUUUCUGGAAAAUAAUAGUAAUCAUUAUUUAAGAAAUUUGUUCCCUGUGAAUUUGGCAAAAUCCAAAGAGCUAAUUAUCUUUCCAGUAUGUGUGUGUGUUCUUAAAUAUGAGCAUUUCUUGCAGCUAAAUUAAAUUUGAAUAAAAGAUCUUUCUCUUUUAGCAAGUAAGAGACCAAAAAUAUUAGCUCUUUCAUCAGAACAAGCCUACACUAAGCUAUACCAUCUAUUGUGGGAAGUUGGAUGAUAACACUUCCACAAAACCAAUUAUUGGUUUAAUUUUCACCCUGUGUGAAAAGUUUCCCUUGGUUUUAAUUCUCUUUCAGAGGUUAAGCUUUAUAUCCUGAGAUCCUAACUUUGUGUCUUUGGAUAAAUAUAUUUUCCUUGUCCAUCAAAUAUUUUUCUGGAACAAAUCUUUCUAGCAAAAAUUUUCUGAUGGGAAUUUUGAAAAUACCUGAGUUUACACAGAUAUGCUUAAGUCUUUGUCCUUUGCUUUCAAAAAAGAUCCUCUCCAACACCUGGAUUGUGCGAAAACAAAAAAGCCUGCUAACCAUGUGAACAUGUGUCUUUGUUUAAAAUAUGUAUUUCCUUUUAUAUUUUUCUCUUUGGUUUUAUUUACUAAGAACUAAAUGCUGGCAGAUUAUAGAAUGUCUCCACUAACUUAAAGGAUAUGAACUCUGUUCCAGGGCAAAAGAGAUAGUGGUAACUAGUUGUGGGGAGGGGAACUUGCUGUCAUUUGGUAAACUCUAACAUUUCUUUUGGGUUCUACUUCUAUGAAUUUGUUUGACAUUAUUUAUUAACUAUUUUUCCCUAAUAUCCUCAGCACACAAAAAGAAUUUAAAAAAACCCACAAAAUGCAAAGGGGCUCCAUCUUGGUGCAAAUUGCUGCUGGGUUGAUUUCUUAGGAUCAA
Sus scrofa (pig) is the source of this 1921-nucleotide long non-coding RNA. RefSeq lists it as uncharacterized. The record is from RefSeq and is a predicted model, not a curated record. Lineage: Eukaryota; Metazoa; Chordata; Mammalia; Artiodactyla; Suidae.